This is a long non-coding RNA of Arvicola amphibius (Eurasian water vole), 1177 nucleotides long. RefSeq lists it as uncharacterized. The transcript has 3 exons. NCBI's taxonomy places the organism in Eukaryota, Metazoa, Chordata, Mammalia, Rodentia, Cricetidae. The record is from RefSeq and is a predicted model, not a curated record.
GAGGGGUGGACCGUCUCCGCCACAAAGGGGUGACGCCGUUGCUGGAAAAAUCCACCUCGCUUUCGCUGUCCAUAGCGGGGCCUUGGGGCCGGCCCCGAGAGAAGGAGAGCUGCUCAGGUUGCCUAAGAGGAAGGAACUUUGCCUCCGGACAACUGGUCUAGUCUGGGAGCCUAGCCCGCUCCCAGUUUGGCAGUCACAGGAGUGUCGCGCGGGACUCGGCAGCGCCGCACUUACCCGCCCUUUCUCGGGCACAGCGCCUCCCGCCACGCUUGGCGACCCCGGGUAGAGAUCCGACCUGCAGCCGAUAGGAUGAAUCCGGUCUCUUCUGCGUUCUUCCCGCGUCCAAAGCCCGCCGGCACCUAGAGAGCCCACACGCAGUGGGUAGUCGACGCGCAGGACACUUGGGAAGAGUUCAGCUGGCACCGACAGCUCGCCGCGGGACGCUCCCCGGCGCCUCCAUCCAGCCGCCCGCUCCGCGACAGUCCACCGGGCCCCCACUGCACGGCCCGCGACGCGCUCACCCUUCCGGGUGUCCAGAGCGCAGAUCAAGGAGUGCACCGCGCCCCGUGGGUGGCCUGGGUCCGCACCAAAGCUCCCGGCUAACAACUCCGCGCUGCGCAGCAAAGGCCCGCGGCGCCGGCUCCGCCCCCACGCUAGGGCCAGCCCCUCCUGACCCCGCCCCUGUACGCCCGGGAAUCUUGCUCUGAGGAGUCCCGGAGUACCAGUCCCCGCCUACACCAAGUGCAUUCUGAUCUCUUUGCCUAGAGGAUUUGCACACCUGAGCCGGGUGCUAGAAGCGAGUACCAGGGUGCCAGUGCUGGAGCGCAGGCUGCGGACGCAGAGGCCAGCUGGAGGGCGCGGUCGUGCCUCGGAGCACAACGUGGGAACCGUCGUGAGAGUAUGGCCAAGUGGGCCUGGAGUCAUCUCUGGAAAACAGGGCACAGCAAAAGGAAGUGUGUAGCCUGGGUGGUUUGCAAUAUACACCAGAUUCCUGCUCCACCCUCAGUGCAUAGGUAAAAUUAUAUCAAGAAUAAUGUGGAGAUACUGAAGACUGGUCGGUGCUUUCAAGUUUUUUCCUGCCCAGAUUUGUUUGGCGGAAAUCCUUUCUUACCUAUCUCAAAAAUCCAGCAAGGAGGGGAAAAAGCAGCUGAAAUAAAUUGAACCCUGUGAUUAUUGA